RNAcentral lists this ribosomal RNA (300 nucleotides) under uncultured Planctomycetota bacterium. RNAcentral describes it as "bacterial SSU rRNA". It matches the Rfam family "Bacterial small subunit ribosomal RNA", at positions 29 to 351 of the family's 1533-position model. The record is from RNAcentral. Lineage: Bacteria; Pseudomonadati; Planctomycetota.
AAUGAACGUUGGCGGCGUGGAUUAGGCAUGCAAGUCGAGCGGGUGUAGCAAUACAUCAGCGGCGAAAGGGAGAGUAAUACGUGGAUACCUACCCCCGGAUCUGGGAUAGCCUCGGGAAACUGAGGGUAAUACCAGAUAAUGUCUCCGGACCAAAGGUGUGAUUCCGUCCGAGGAGGGGUCCGCGGCCUAUUAGCUAGUUGGCAGGGUAACGGCCUACCAAGGCGAAGAUGGGUACGAGGCGUGAGAGCGUGUCCUCGCUCAUUGGGACUGAGACACUGCCCAGACACCUACGGGUGGCUG